UGUACUGCAUGAUACAAGCAAUUAACAUCCUAUCAUGCUCUGUGGCAUGUAUAAAAAUGCUGAGCAGGCCCAGUUGAUCUAAAUUAUGGAUCAAGAUGGAAAGAGGAAAAGAUGUAAGUGACUUACGACUUAAGACUUAAGUGACUUAAAUUCAUUAUUGGUUCAACACCUUACAUCCAAACACUUUAUGUUGGUUUUGCCUUUGAUUUGUCAUCUGUCUGUAUAUAUAUGGGUUUGUCUGUGCCACACAACUGACAGUCACAGACAGAAACAAUUUUCAUUUGCUGCAUUUACCACAUAGGUAUUUUUAGUUAGUUUGGAAAUGUUAGUGAUGAAUUUAGAAGGUUUAGGGUGGGAGGACUUAGGUGGAUGUGCAGGUGCAUGCCUGAAUACAUCUAAUCGCCCGAGAAAAUAUUGAAUCAAUCCUGUAAUUCAAGGAAACGUUUUUUUUUUUGUUUUUUGUUUUUUUGUCAUGUAACAUAUGUAAGUGCAACAGUGUUAACAUGUAGCUAGUGCUGGAGAACAUAAAUGGUUGUCAUAGCUGUGGUGACCGGACACAGGGUGAGAACUGUGUCCACUGGGAACUUCAUUGGCGAUUCUGACUAAGAGACCAGCCCUGAGGGACAGGAGAACAAAGUCCCAAAAAUGGAAAUUUCGGGAGCCAUGCGCGCUGAGCUGGGCUCGGGGCGAAGCGGCUUGAAUGUAGAUUAGCAGCAGAUCUCUGCAGCUGCGAGUGCUGAAGGAAGUGGGACAGAACUGUGGGACUGGUGGGGGGGGGGGGGGGGGGGGGGCUGUUAACAGGCAGCUAUUUUACAUAUAUAAGGGGUCAGCAAUAUUGCUGCUGGAGCAGUGCUGUCGUACGAGUCUGGUCUUUUCUGAUAACAAAAUAAUGCCAGCUUGGGCUUUAUUUUCAUUACCUGUGCUAAUUAAUAACAACAAAUCCAGUAACAUGAUCAAGGGUUUAACUUUUGCACGCCACGUGAGGAUUCUGGGAAGUUUGAGUAUCACACUGCUGCUCUCCAGUAGAUGAGAAGGAGAUUUCCCUAUGCUGGGAGCAAUGCUUGUUUGCAGUCACCAAUGCUGACACCAUACCUGGUGGUAUUAAACCACAGCCACUCAAACAUACGACAGUCAACAGUCAACCAGAGGCAACUGGCAUCAUGUGACCAGAUGUUAAUGGCGAUACACUUAAUUCAAAAUGGUUUCAAGGUCCUCCCCAGGUGGUCUUUGGAAGAGACAGGACGACCUGGAGAGCACACAGAACCUCUGAGCCUAUCAAACCAGAGGCCAAGAAAAGACCUUGUUCCACACUUUUCUGUUCAUCUCAAAUUCAUCACUUACGGCAGGUGAGAGGAAAAGCAGUUUCACUCUGAUUGGAGGGCCAUCUUCCCUGAAUGAUGACCUCACAGUAGGGUGAUCUAGACUGGCAAUGCCCUCAUCCACACCCUUAUCACAGUGCAGCUACACUUCCACCCUACUCCGUCUUCUUGGUCCACCCUCACCUACCACUCGCUAAUUCAAGAGAACCUUGAACUUUGACCUCUCUUCAGCAAUGAGGCAGUUCUUUAGACUCUCAGAGAAAAAGGUGGCAGUGCUCAGCAUUAGCCUACAUCAUCAUUGUGAGACAUAAACAAAUCAGCUGACCUCUGCCAAGAAGCCAUCAGGGAGGAUGACACAUUUUGGUAUGUGAGACUGGACAUUGCGGGUUGGGGGGGUUGUGGUUUUAUAUAUUCUCCUGAACAUAUCCACCCUCGUUCACAAAGGUCCCUUAAGACAUAAGGUGCACCUUAUACGUUGUUCACUAUUAGCCACAGCAGGAAAUGGAACCAAAGAUUUGAACAAUAAUAAUUUUGUUCUACAUGAUGACCUACUACAGAUAUAAUCAGACGUUCUGCAAAACAUCAAGGUUUGCUGAUAAUUGCUAUUUUGUGUCUCUUGUUCAUUGUUUUAUUUAGCCAUGGUUCUCAAGUUUUCAGCCCUAAGUUCUAAAGCUGUUUUUUGUUUUCGAUUUGGGGGUUGGGGUGUUUGUUACCCUCUUUGGGCAUUAAGAGAUUGUGCUGAAGGAGGGGGUGCUGUUUUGCUGUCGAGGUACGGGAAUGCCAAGCCAAUUGAACUGGGCCUCCGUUUUCUGCAUGCUUUGAGUACAGAUAAGCAUGAUGUAGGAACUCUUUGUGACUAGGGCAAAUCAGGCCACUCAACUUUGGGGAAGUGGGGGUUGGAGGGGGAGGGGGUACUGUGGGGUACACAGGCAAGAGGCAAAGGAGGGAAAUAGGUUAAAACAACUCCCAUCCCUUAGCAUGUGAAGACGUGACCUGAGUUCCAAUGUUGUCCUGACAGAUAUGCCCUUCUAAAAUACAGAAACUGUUAUGUAUUCAGGGUUCUCU
This is a long non-coding RNA of Anguilla anguilla (European eel), 2384 nucleotides long. RefSeq lists it as uncharacterized. Lineage: Eukaryota; Metazoa; Chordata; Actinopteri; Anguilliformes; Anguillidae. The transcript is spliced from 2 exons. The record is from RefSeq and is a predicted model, not a curated record.